GAAAUGCGAUAAGUAUUGUGAAUUGCAGAAUUCAGUGAAUCAUCGAAUCUUUGAACGCACAUUGCGCCCCUCGGUAUUCCGGGGGGCAUGCCUGUUCGAGCGUCAUUAUCGACCAUCAAGCACAGCUUGGCAUUGGGCCUUCGUCCCCGCAGUGGACGGACCCUAAAGACCUCGGCGGCGGCGCAGUGGCCUCAAGCGUAGUAGAAAUAUCCCGCUUUACAGAGGCCUCGCGACGCCCGCUUCGAAAACACAUCACCUUAAGGUUGACCUCGGAUCAGGUAGGGAUACCCGCUGAACUUAA
This 301-nucleotide unclassified non-coding RNA is filed under the name uncultured Ascomycota. Its description in RNAcentral is "sequence contains ITS1". The stretch from base 1 to 105 matches the Rfam family "5.8S ribosomal RNA", at positions 50 to 154 of the family's 154-position model. The record is from RNAcentral. Lineage: Eukaryota; Fungi; Ascomycota.